This 244-nucleotide ribosomal RNA is filed under the name uncultured bacterium. RNAcentral's name for it is "partial small subunit ribosomal RNA". It matches the Rfam family "Bacterial small subunit ribosomal RNA", at positions 26 to 285 of the family's 1533-position model. The record is from RNAcentral.
AGAAUCAACGCUGGCGGCGUGCCUAACACAUGCAAGUCGAACGAGAAAGUGGAGCAUCCAUGAGUAAAGUGGCGCACGGGUGAGUAACACGUGACUAACCUACCCUUGAGUGGGGGAUAACCUAGGGAAACCUGGGCUAAUACCGCAUAAUACCUACGGGUCAAAGGAGCAAUUCGCUUUAGGAGGGGGUCGCGGCAGAUUAGUUAGUUGGCGGGGUAAUGGCCCACCAAGACAGUGAUCUGUA